GACGAACGCUGGCGGCGUGCCUAAUACAUGCAAGUUGAGCGCUGAAGGUUGGUACUUGUACCAACUUGAUGAGCAGCGCACGGGUGAGUAACGCGUGGGGAAUCUGCCUUUGAGCGGGGUACAACAUUUGGAAACGAAUGCUAAUACCGCAUAAAAACUUUCAACACAAGUUUUAAGUUUGAAAUAUGCAAUUGCAUCACUCAAAGAUGAUCCCGCGUUGUAUUAGCUAGUUGGUGAGGUAAAGGCUCACCAAGGCGAUGAUACAUAGCCGACCUGAGAGGGUGAUCGGCCACAUUGGGACUGAGACACGGCACAAACUGCUACGGGAGGCAGCAGUAGGGAAUCUUCGGCAAUGGACGAAAGUCUGACCGAGCAACGCCGCGUGAGUGAAGAAGGUUUUCGGAUCGUAAAACUCUGUUGGUAGAGAAGAACGUUGGUGAGAGUGGAAAGAUCAUCAAGUGACGGUAACUACCCAGAAAGGGACGGCUAACUACGUG
Molecule: ribosomal RNA, 497 nt
Filed under: uncultured bacterium
Lineage: Bacteria
Description: partial 16S ribosomal RNA
Rfam family: Bacterial small subunit ribosomal RNA
Source: RNAcentral